GGUGCGAUGGCCGAGCGGUUAAGGCGCUGGGUCUAGGUUCCAGUUAACCGGGGGUUCGAAUCCCUCUCGCACCA
Molecule: non-coding RNA, 74 nt
Organism: Anncaliia algerae PRA109
Lineage: Eukaryota; Fungi; Microsporidia; Tubulinosematidae
Source: Rfam